GAUGAACGCUGGCGGCGUGCCUAAUACAUGCAAGUCGAACGAAACUUCUUUAUCACCGAGUGCUUGCACUCACCGAUAAAGAGUUGAGUGGCGAACGGGUGAGUAACACGUGGGCAACCUGCCCAAAAGAGGGGGAUAACACUUGGAAACAGGUGCUAAUACCGCAUAACCAUAGUUACCGCAUGGUAACUAUGUAAAAGGUGGCUAUACUACCGCUUUUGGAUGGGCCCGCGGCGCAUUAGCUAGUUGGUAGGGUAAAGGCUUACCAAGGCAAUGAUGCGUAGCCGAAUUGAGAGGUUGAUCGGCCACAUUGGGACUGAGACACGGCCCAAACUCCUACGGGAGGCAGCAGUAGGGAAUCUUCCACAAUGGGCGAAAGCCUGAUGGAGCAACGCCGCGUGGGUGAAGAAGGUCUUCGGAUCGUAAAACCCUGUUGUUAGAGAAGAAAGUGCGUGAGAGUAACUGUUCGCGUUUCGACGGUAUCUAACCAGAAAGCCACUGCUAACUACGUG
RNAcentral lists this ribosomal RNA (512 nucleotides) under uncultured bacterium. Its description in RNAcentral is "partial 16S ribosomal RNA". It matches the Rfam family "Bacterial small subunit ribosomal RNA", at positions 28 to 507 of the family's 1533-position model. The record is from RNAcentral.